UGGCGGACGGGUGAGUAACGCGUGGGUAACCGUGCCUCAUACAGGGGGAUAACAGUUGGAAACGGCUGCUAAUACCGCAUAAGCGCACAGUACCGCAUGGUACGGUGUGAAAAACUCCGGUGGUAUGAGAUGGACCCGCGUCUGAUUAGGUAGUUGGUGGGGUAACGGCCUACCAAGGCGACGAUCAGUAGCCGACCUGAGAGGGUGACCGGCCACAUUGGGACUGAGACACGGCCCAA
RNAcentral lists this ribosomal RNA (239 nucleotides) under uncultured bacterium. RNAcentral's name for it is "partial 16S ribosomal RNA". It matches the Rfam family "Bacterial small subunit ribosomal RNA", at positions 96 to 334 of the family's 1533-position model. The record is from RNAcentral.